UGAGCCAAAGGAACCACCAAGUGGUAAUUGGAUUAUGCCUCAAGUUUGAGGUGGAUUGGUGAAACAUAUGAAUAUUGUUCACCAAAACAACAUUAAUGAAUAAAUGUGUCACCUUGAGGUGUGGCCAAUUUUUAUAUCUUGCUCUUUUUAGGCUUUUGUCAUGACACUAUUCGGCAAAACCUUUAUCUUGGCUUAAUAUUUAUUUUAAGUUUUUUUGUUGGAUUUCUUACAGUGGAAAAUCUACUGUUUUUGAUGGUAUUGUUCUUUGAACCAAUAAUUUUAUUAAAUGAGUUAUUAUUUAAUGCAAAGCUAUACUAUUUUCUUUAUGGUCA
RNAcentral lists this long non-coding RNA (332 nucleotides) under Trifolium pratense (red clover). RNAcentral's name for it is "long non-coding RNA (TPRA_LNC004968)". Lineage: Eukaryota; Viridiplantae; Streptophyta; Magnoliopsida; Fabales; Fabaceae. The record is from RNAcentral.